UUUUUUUUUUUUUUUUUAAAUAGAAAUAGUGAACAUAUUACAGUAUGUGGCUACGUUAGCAUUAGCCUCGAGCUUGCUAGCCAACAAAUGGUUGCCACUUGUCAUCAAACAUGACGUCACAAAAGACACCACUGCUUCUCGCCAAUGACCGAAGCAAAACACCUACAACAGCGGUGUAACAGUGUAUCCGGCCACCAGAGGGUGCAGACAAUGUGCCCCCAUCGCCCAUCCUCCUUGAACCAAAGAAGCCUCCGGAAGUUGCAUGGACAAGAGAUGAGGCAAGCAGACUCAGGCUUUGUCCACAUAAACACAGAGAGUUUCAAGAACACAUAAUUGGGUUUAAAACAAUCUUUAUCCACACAAGUGUAGUUUCAAAAGUGUCUAUGUCUACACACA
Long non-coding RNA from Entelurus aequoreus (snake pipefish), 396 nucleotides. RefSeq lists it as uncharacterized. The transcript is spliced from 3 exons. The record is from RefSeq and is a predicted model, not a curated record. NCBI's taxonomy places the organism in Eukaryota, Metazoa, Chordata, Actinopteri, Syngnathiformes, Syngnathidae.